GGCUCUUUGUCAAAAUAUAAAUAAAGAGUCGGACCUGCCCGGUGAAAUAUUUUUAACGGCCGCGGUACUCUGACCGUGCAAAGGUAGCAUAAUCAUUUGCCUUAUAAUUGAAGGCUUGUAUGAAUGGUUUGACAAGAAUGAAUCUGUCUCUUUAUAAUUAAAUAUAAUUUUAUUUACAGGUGAAGAAGCCUGUAUUAAAUUGAAAGACAAGAAGACCCUAUCGAGCUUUAAAGCAAUUAAUAAAAUUAAAAUCAUAUUUAUAUCGAAUUAGUUAUUAAAAAUUUUAGUUGGGGCGACGAAGGAACAAAUAAAGCUUCCUUAAUAUUCUAUACAAGCAAGUUAUGAUCCAUUCAUUUUGAUUAAAGGAAUUAGUUACCGUAGGGAUAACAGCAUUAUCUUUUUUAAGAGCUCAAAUCGAAAAAAAGGUUUGUGACCUCGAUGUUGGACCAGAAUAUCCUAAAGAUGCAGCCGUCUUUAAGGGUUGGUCUGUUCGACCAUUAAAAUUCU
RNAcentral lists this ribosomal RNA (507 nucleotides) under Lataxiena blosvillei. Its description in RNAcentral is "partial 16S ribosomal RNA". It matches the Rfam family "Bacterial large subunit ribosomal RNA", at positions 1816 to 2597 of the family's 2925-position model. Lineage: Eukaryota; Metazoa; Mollusca; Gastropoda; Neogastropoda; Muricidae. The record is from RNAcentral.